RNAcentral lists this transfer RNA (82 nucleotides) under Lachnospiraceae bacterium NK3A20. Its description in RNAcentral is "rumen bacterium NK3A20 tRNA". It matches the Rfam family "tRNA". Rfam says of the family: Transfer RNA (tRNA) molecules are approximately 80 nucleotides in length. The record is from Rfam by way of RNAcentral. Lineage: Bacteria; Bacillati; Bacillota; Clostridia; Lachnospirales; Lachnospiraceae.
GCGGCUUUGGCGAAAUUGGUAUACGCGCAGGAUUUAGGUUCCUGUCCGGCAACGGGUAAGGGUUCGAGUCCCUCAAGCCGCA